RNAcentral lists this ribosomal RNA (253 nucleotides) under uncultured bacterium. RNAcentral describes it as "partial 16S ribosomal RNA". It matches the Rfam family "Bacterial small subunit ribosomal RNA", at positions 524 to 776 of the family's 1533-position model. The record is from RNAcentral.
UACGUAGGGUGCGAGCGUUAAUCGGAAUUACUGGGCGUAAAGAGCUCGUAGGCGGUCUGUCGCGUCUGCUGUGAAAAUCCAGGGCUCAACCCUGGACCUGCAGUGGGUACGGGCAGACUAGAGUGCGGUAGGGGAGAUCGGAAUUCCUGGUGUAGCGGUGAAAUGCGCAGAUAUCAGGAGGAACACCGGUGGCGAAGGCGGAUCUCUGGGCCGUAACUGACGCUGAGGAGCGAAAGCAUGGGGAGCGAACAGG